UACGGGGGGAGCAAGCGUUGUUCGGAUUUACUGGGCGUAAAGAGCUCGUAGGCGGUUUGUCGCGUCUGCCGUGAAAGUCCGGGGCUCAACUCCGGAUCUGCGGUGGGUACGGGCAGACUAGAGUGAUGUAGGGGAGACUGGAAUUCCUGGUGUAGCGGUGAAAUGCGCAGAUAUCAGGAGGAACACCGAUGGCGAAGGCAGGUCUCUGGGCAUUAACUGACGCUGAGGAGCGAAAGCAUGGGGAGCGAACAGG
This 253-nucleotide ribosomal RNA is filed under the name uncultured bacterium. Its description in RNAcentral is "partial 16S ribosomal RNA". It matches the Rfam family "Bacterial small subunit ribosomal RNA", at positions 524 to 776 of the family's 1533-position model. The record is from RNAcentral.